RNAcentral lists this ribosomal RNA (510 nucleotides) under uncultured bacterium. RNAcentral's name for it is "bacterial SSU rRNA". It matches the Rfam family "Bacterial small subunit ribosomal RNA", at positions 17 to 518 of the family's 1533-position model. The record is from RNAcentral.
UUAUGGCUCAGGAUGAACGCUAGGCGAUAGGCUUAACACAUGCAAGUCGAGGGGCAGCACGGUGUAGCAAUACACGUGGUGGCGACCGGCGUACGGGUGCGUAACACGUAUGACAACCUACCGCUAUUGGGGGAUAACCCGGCGAAAGUCGGACUAAUACCCAUAUUAUUCUUACCGGGCAUCCGGUAGGUCUGAAAGAUUUAUCGAUUGCGGAUGGGCAUGCGGAUGAUUAGCUAGUAGGUGGGGUAACGGCUCACCUAGGCGACGAUCAUUAGGGGUUCUGAGAGGAAGGUCCCCCACACUGGAACUGAGACACGGUCCAGACUCCUACGGGAGGCAGCAGUGAGGAAUAUUGGUCAAUGGGCGCUAGCCUGAACCAGCCAAGUCGCGUGAAGGAUGACAAGAUCUAUGGUUUGUAAACUUCUUUUGCAGGGGAGUAAAGUGCGACACGUGUGUUGUAUUGCAAGUACCCUGCGAAUAAGCAUCGGCUAACUCCGUGCCAGCCGCAGC